UACGUAGGGUGCGAGCGUUGUUCGGAAUUACUGGGCGUAAAGGGCGCGUAGGCGGGUUUGUAAGUCGAUUGUGAAAUCCCAGGGCUUAACCCUGGAGCUGCAGUCGAAACUACAAGUCUUGAAUGUCUGAGAGGGUGGGAGAAUUCCUGGUGUAGUAGUGAAAUACGUAGAUAUCAGGAGGAAUACCGGCGGCGAAGGCGCCUACCUGGCAGUACAUUGACGCUGAGGCGCGAAAGCGUGGGGAGCAAACAGG
This 253-nucleotide unclassified non-coding RNA is filed under the name uncultured Oligoflexaceae bacterium. Its description in RNAcentral is "contains 16S-23S intergenic spacer region". It matches the Rfam family "Bacterial small subunit ribosomal RNA", at positions 524 to 776 of the family's 1533-position model. Lineage: Bacteria; Pseudomonadati; Bdellovibrionota; Oligoflexia; Oligoflexales; Oligoflexaceae. The record is from RNAcentral.